Long non-coding RNA from Hyposmocoma kahamanoa, 268 nucleotides. RefSeq lists it as uncharacterized. The record is from RefSeq and is a predicted model, not a curated record. The transcript has 3 exons. Lineage: Eukaryota; Metazoa; Arthropoda; Insecta; Lepidoptera; Cosmopterigidae.
GUAAUGCUGAAUCAAAGAAGAGUGACUUCCCUGAAGUACCAUCGGGCUAUGAUACAGAUGCUCCAGGGAAUCAAGGAAACCUUGAUUCUGAAAACCAUUUCCAGUCCCACUCAGAGCAAAAGUCAUUCAGAAUGGUGAACGGCAAGGUGGUAGAGGACAAGGGGGUUAAGACUGACUUCACGGAUGACAACGGAGUAGUUAACAAGAAAACUAAAUACUUUGGCAAUUGAUGGUGCUUCAUAAGCAGAUUUACUUUGUGGUUCUUAGC